AGCACUUGUACAUGGAGCUCCUUCAAGUCCUUGGUGUUAAUCAAUGCCUUGCCACCUUCUCUGUCACCCCUCCAAAUAGCUUUCUGAUCGGUGUCUCAGGGAAUGAAAGCACUCUUGACAAAGUUUUACCAGAACACAACAACUCUGUGAUCCGAUCAAGAGUUCCAAAGAGUUUGUGGCUGGUUCCCGGCCAGGUAUCUC
Non-coding RNA from Pelobates cultripes (western spadefoot toad), 201 nucleotides. The record is from the annotation of a GenBank genome assembly. NCBI's taxonomy places the organism in Eukaryota, Metazoa, Chordata, Amphibia, Anura, Pelobatidae.